This is a long non-coding RNA of Photinus pyralis (common eastern firefly), 958 nucleotides long. RefSeq lists it as uncharacterized. The transcript has 3 exons. The record is from RefSeq and is a predicted model, not a curated record. Lineage: Eukaryota; Metazoa; Arthropoda; Insecta; Coleoptera; Lampyridae.
CCAAGACCAACGACCAAUCAAAAACGAGAUACCCUGUUGUCGCCACUGUCUCUAUAAAGUCACUGUAGGUACAACAAGAAGGUUAAAAUAAAACAGGAAAAUCAUACUCGAUUUUUACUAUAUCAGGAACAAGUUUACUUGAACAUGAAUUAUAUCAACGAUACUUACGCUAAUAUUUUACGAUAAACCAAGACAAGACCUAAUCUAAUUUAUUUAAUUUAUUUUUGACCUUUAUCUUUGAGUGCGCGAGGCUUCAGCUCAGGCUGCUCUGCCAUCCCACUUGCAGAUGUGUUCCACACUGACUCUUUGUACUGCGCAAACGCAAGCGCGCUAAAAUUUGAAUUUGUGUACAGCUGUCAAGGUGUGUAAGGAGUAAAUAAUAUACACAGAAUAAGACCGUAUUCUGUGAUAAUAUACACAUAACCUGCAAACGUUAUAAUUGAAGAUAAUUUAGCUUACCUGCUUACCUAUUAUAUGUAGUAGGUAUAUGAAAAUGCCAUGUUAUCAAGAUGAAUUUUGUUGUUAUCUACAUUUGGAAGAAUAUGCCAAAGGCGAUAUUAGGAAACUGCUUCGCAAUAACGUUAUACAGACCAACAUUGACCUAUGGUAAAGAGAGAGUCCGGUGCUGAACGAAUCUCAAAAAAACCAGACUACAAGGAUCUUGACUGAUAGCUAAAGUAGAGGUUUGCUUUCAAGUUGGCGCUAUAAUGUAUUUAACUGGAAUUCACAGUAGUGACCGAGAAGAAGAACAUAUUCUUUCCGAGAAUACAGCGACAUUUGGUUUGUAAUAUGGAAGUCAGCAGGAACUGCGCGCUUGCGUUUGCGCAGUACAGGGAGUCAGUGUGGAACACAUCUGCAAGUUGCCAUCCCACCCCACUACUGCAGUGGCGUACCGUCGGUCAUUGGUGUCCAGGGCGGAAUAUAAACUUGCCGCCCUAAUGAGAAAGGCGAGGGGAGU